RNAcentral lists this ribosomal RNA (411 nucleotides) under Verrucomicrobiota bacterium. RNAcentral describes it as "Verrucomicrobia bacterium partial 16S ribosomal RNA". It matches the Rfam family "Bacterial small subunit ribosomal RNA", at positions 355 to 776 of the family's 1533-position model. The record is from RNAcentral. Lineage: Bacteria; Pseudomonadati; Verrucomicrobiota.
UGGGGAAUAUUGCACAAUGGACGGAAGUCUGAUGCAGCGACGCCGCGUGGGGGAUGAAGGCUUUCGGGUUGUAAACUCCUUUCAGUACAGAAGAAGCUUUAUUGUGACGGUAUGUGCAGAAGAAGCGCCGGCUAACUACGUGCCAGCAGCCGCGGUAAUACGUAGGGCGCGAGCGUUGUCCGGAAUUAUUGGGCGUAAAGAGCUCGUAGGCGGUUUGUCGCGUCUGCUGUGAAAGACCGGGGCUUAACUCCGGGGCUGCAGUGGGUACGGGCAGGCUGGAGUGCGGUAGGGGUAACCGGAAUUCCUGGUGUAGCGGUGGAAUGCGCAGAUAUCAGGAGGAACACCGAUGGCGAAGGCAGGUUACUGGGCCGUUACUGACGCUGAGAAGCGAAAGCGUGGGGAGCGAACAGG